This 84-nucleotide transfer RNA is filed under the name Bacteroidales bacterium. RNAcentral describes it as "tRNA-Leu". It matches the Rfam family "tRNA". Rfam says of the family: Transfer RNA (tRNA) molecules are approximately 80 nucleotides in length. The record is from RNAcentral. Lineage: Bacteria; Pseudomonadati; Bacteroidota; Bacteroidia; Bacteroidales.
GCCCAAGUGUUGGAAUUGGUAGACAAGCAUGGUUGAGGGCCAUGUGCUCAUUAGGGCGUGCAAGUUCAAAUCUUGUCUUGGGUA